RNAcentral lists this non-coding RNA (27 nucleotides) under Mus musculus (house mouse). Lineage: Eukaryota; Metazoa; Chordata; Mammalia; Rodentia; Muridae. The record is from RNAcentral.
CUGAUCUGCAUUCACUAGCCCAGUGAU